This 406-nucleotide ribosomal RNA is filed under the name uncultured bacterium. Its description in RNAcentral is "bacterial SSU rRNA". It matches the Rfam family "Bacterial small subunit ribosomal RNA", at positions 9 to 432 of the family's 1533-position model. The record is from RNAcentral.
GAGUUUGAUCCUGGCUCAGGAUGAACGCUGGCGGCGUGCUUAUCACAUGCAAGUCGAAUGUAGCAAUACAUGGCGGACGGGUGAGUAACGCGUGAGCAAUCUGCCCUUAUCUGGGGGAUAACAGUUGGAAACGACUGAUAAUACCGCAUAACAUCGAGAGAAGGCAUCUUCUUUCGAUCAAAGAUUUAUCGGAUAAGGAUGAGCUCGCGUCUGAUUAGCUUGUUGGUGAGGUAACGGCUCACCAAGGCGACGAUCAGUAGCCGACCUGAGAGGGUGAUCGGCCACAUUGGAACUGAGACACGGUCCAAACUCCUACGGGAGGCAGCAGUGGGGAAUAUUGGGCAAUGGAGGCAACUCUGACCCAGCAACGCCGCGUGAAUGAUGAAGGUCUUCGGAUUGUAAAGUC